UGGGGGAACCCAGCAUGAGUUAUGUCAUGUUAUCGACAUGUGAAUUCAUAGCAUGUCAGAAGGCAGACCCGGAGAACUGAAACAUCUUAGUACCCGGAGGAAGAGAAAGAAAAAUCGAUUCUCUGAGUAGCGGCGAGCGAAACGGGAAGAGCCCAAACCAACAAGCUUGCUUGUUGGGGUUGUAGGACACUCUAUACGGAGUUACAAAAGAACAUGUUAGACGAAUCAUCUGGAAAGAUGAAU
RNAcentral lists this ribosomal RNA (243 nucleotides) under Staphylococcus epidermidis. Its description in RNAcentral is "partial 23S ribosomal RNA". It matches the Rfam family "Bacterial large subunit ribosomal RNA", at positions 119 to 355 of the family's 2925-position model. Lineage: Bacteria; Bacillati; Bacillota; Bacilli; Caryophanales; Staphylococcaceae. The record is from RNAcentral.